RNAcentral lists this ribosomal RNA (253 nucleotides) under uncultured bacterium. RNAcentral describes it as "partial 16S ribosomal RNA". It matches the Rfam family "Bacterial small subunit ribosomal RNA", at positions 524 to 776 of the family's 1533-position model. The record is from RNAcentral.
UACGAAGGGGGCUAGCGUUGCUCGGAAUUACUGGGCGUAAAGGGCUCGUAGGCGGUCUGUCACGUCGGGAGUGAAAACACGGGGCUUAACCCCGUGCCUGCUUCCGAUACGGGCAGACUAGAGGUAUGCAGGGGAGAACGGAAUUCCUGGUGUAGCGGUGAAAUGCGCAGAUAUCAGGAGGAACACCGGUGGCGAAGGCGGUUCUCUGGGCAUUACCUGACGCUGAGGAGCGAAAGUGUGGGGAGCGAACAGG